GAGCCCGUUAAUGGGUGAUAGCGUGCCUUUUGUAGAAUGAACCGGCGAGUUACGAUUUGUUGCAAGGUUAAGCGGAAAAAGCGGAGCCGUAGCGAAAGCGAGUCUGAAUAGGGCGCAUAAGUAACAGGUCGUAGACCCGAAACCAGGUGAUCUACCCAUGUCCAGGAUGAAGGUAAGGUAAUACUUACUGGAGGUCCGAACCCACGCACGUUGAAAAGUGCGGGGAUGAGGUGUGGGUAGCGGAGAAAUUCCAAUCGAACUUGGAGAUAGCUGGUUCUCUCCGAAAUAGCUUUAGGGCUAGCCUCGAGGUAAAGAGUCAUGGAGGUAGAGCACUGUUUGGACUAGGGGCCCUUCUCGGGUUACCGAAUUCAGAUAAACUCCGAAUGCCAUGUACUUAUACUCGGGAGUCAGACUGCGAGUGAUAAGAUCCGUAGUCGAAAGGGAAACAGCCCAGACCACCAGUUAAGGUCCCCAAAUAUAUGUUAAGUGGAAAAGGAUGUGGGGUUGCUUAGACAACCAGGAUGUUGGCUUAGAAGCAGCCACCAUUGAAAGAGUGCGUAAUAGCUCACUGGUCGAGUGACCCCGCGCCGAAAAUGUACCGGGGCUAAACAUAUUACCGAAACUGUGGAUGAACCUCUUUAGAGGUUCGUGGUAGGAGAGCGUUCUAAGGGCGGUGAAGUCAGACCGGAAGGACUGGUGGAGCGCUUAGAAGUGAGAAUGCCGGUAUGAGUAGCGAAAGAAGGGUGAGAAUCCCUUCCACCGAAUAUCUAAGGUUUCCUGAGGAAGGCUCGUCCGCUCAGGGUUAGUCGGGACCUAAGCCGAGGCCGAUAGGCGUAGGCGAUGGACAACAGGUAGAGAUUCCUGUACCAGUGCUAAUUGUUUAACCGAUGGGGUGACACAGAAGGAUAGGGAAUCGCACGAAUGGAAAUGUGCGUCCAAGCAGUGAGUGUGAGAAGUAGGCAAAUCCGCUUCUCGCGAAGCAUGAGCUGUGAUGGGGAAGGAAAUUAAGUACGGAAGUUCCUGAUUUCACGCUGUCAAGAAAAGCCUCUAGGAAGAGUAGUACUGCCCGUACCGCAAACCGACACAGGUAGAUGAGGAGAGAAUCCUAAGGUGAGCGAGAGAACUCUCGUUAAGGAACUCGGCAAAAUGACCCCGUAACUUCGGGAGAAGGGGUGCUCUAUUAGGGUGCAAGCCCGAGAGAGCCGCAGUGAAUAGGCCCAGGCGACUGUUUAGCAAAAACACAGGUCUCUGCAAAACCGUAAGGUGACGUAUAGGGGCUGACGCCUGCCCGGUGCUGGAAGGUUAAGAGGAGUGCUUAGCUUCGGCGAAGGUACGAAUUGAAGCCCCAGUAAACGGCGGCCGUAACUAUAACGGUCCUAAGGUAGCGAAAUUCCUUGUCGGGUAAGUUCCGACCCGCACGAAAGGCGCAACGAUCUGGGCACUGUCUCAACGAGAGACUCGGUGAAAUUAUAGUACCUGUGAAGAUGCAGGUUACCCGCGACAGGACGGAAAGACCCCGUGGAGCUUUACUGCAACCUGAUAUGGAAUGUUUGUACCGCUUGUACAGGAUAGGUAGGAGCCGAAGAGACGUGUGCGCUAGCAUACGAGGAGGCAAUGGUGGGAUACUACCCUGGCUGUAUGACCAUUCUAACCCGCCACGCUUAGCGCGUGGGGAGACAGUGUCAGGUGGGCAGUUUGACUGGGGCGGUCGCCUCCUAAAGAGUAACGGAGGCGCCCAAAGGUUCCCUCAGAAUGGAUGGAAAUCAUUCGCAGAGUGUAAAGGCACAAGGGAGCUUGACUGCGAGACUGACAAGUCGAGCAGGGACGAAAGUCGGGCUUAGUGAUCCGGUGGUUCCGCAUGGAAGGGCCAUCGCUCAACGGAUAAAAGCUACCCCGGGGAUAACAGGCUUAUCUCCCCCAAGAGUCCACAUCGACGGGGAGGUUUGGCACCUCGAUGUCGGCUCGUCGCAUCCUGGGGCUGUAGUCGGUCCCAAGGGUUGGGCUGUUCGCCCAUUAAAGCGGCACGCGAGCUGGGUUCAGAACGUCGUGAGACAGUUCGGUCCCUAUCCGUCGCGGGCGCAGGAAAUUUGAGAGGAGCUGUCCUUAGUACGAGAGGACCGGGAUGGACACACCGCUGGUGUACCAGUUGUUCCGCCAGGAGCAUCGCUGGGUAGCUAUGUGUGGCAGGGAUAAACGCUGAAAGCAUCUAAGCGUGAAGCCCCCCUCAAGAUGAGAUUUCCCAUUUCUUCGGAAAGUAAGAUCCCUGAAAGAUGAUCAGGUAGAUAGGUUUGGAGUGGAAGUGUAGCGAUACAUGGAGCGGACAAAUACUAAUCGAUCGAGGACUUAACCAA
Molecule: ribosomal RNA, 2351 nt
Filed under: Listeria monocytogenes
Lineage: Bacteria; Bacillati; Bacillota; Bacilli; Caryophanales; Listeriaceae
Description: partial 23S ribosomal RNA
Rfam family: Bacterial large subunit ribosomal RNA
Source: RNAcentral